Molecule: ribosomal RNA, 254 nt
Filed under: uncultured bacterium
Lineage: Bacteria
Description: partial 16S ribosomal RNA
Rfam family: Bacterial small subunit ribosomal RNA
Source: RNAcentral
CACGUAGGGACCGAGCGUUGUCCGGAUUUAUUGGGCGUAAAGAGCUCGUAGGCGGUUCAGCAAGUCGGGUGUGAAAACUCUGGGCUCAACCCAGAGACGCCACCCGAUACUGCUGUGACUAGAGUCCGGUAGGGGAGUGGGGAAUUCCUGGUGUAGCGGUGAAAUGCGCAGAUAUCAGGAAGAACACCCGUGGCGAAGGCGGCUCUCUGGGACGGUACUGACGCUGAGACGCGAAAGCGUGGGGAGCGAACAGG